AAUAAUGUGUGGUUCUGUUUAAUUUCUAAACCACAUGUAUUUAUAUGGAGUUCUUGAGCGUCUAUUAUCACUGCCACUUCAGUUUUGUCAAAAGUUCAUGUAACCACAUAAAAAAUAAAAAAAAAGUGCCUUUACACCUACAUAGAAUCAAAAAAUAAAGUAAUAUAUAGACUAAUUUUGACAACCAAUUGUAAAAUAAUAAAAUAAUCUGCUGUACAAAUUUUGACUAGUUUUAUUAAUUUAUGUUUUUCUUUAUAAUUAUGACAAACUAAUAACUAAUUUACUUUGUAAUUAAUUUUAUUAUUAAUUAUUUUUAAAUUAAUUUAACUAUUAUUAUUAAGUAUCCAUGAAGAGUUGAUGUCUAUUUUUAAAUAUAAUUUAAUAAUAUACUCUGUUUCAAUCUAAUUUAGUGCAGUCCAAUCAUAAUGAUUAUUUCAAUCUAUUCCUUCACAACAAAAGUAACCUUAAAACCCUAGCCCUUCAGUAGCCUUAACCUCUUAGCAACAAUACAUAGCAGUAUCUCAUUAACUUCUUUUAUACCAUUGGUGUCCCCAGUUAACCUCAUUAAUUUUGUUGGGCAAAUGCUAAGUUACAAUAAUUGUAACAUACAUUCUUCGUGUGAAUCACAUAAAUUAUGGGUCCUACAAUUUGAUCCACAAUUUGUGUGGUUCACAAGAGGAAUAUAUGUUAUAAUUAUUGUAACUUAGAGGCUCCCAUUUUGUUGAACAAUCUUUUACCAUCAUAUAUAUAUAUUAUUCAUUUGAGUUUUGUAGGAUCUCAUUCUCCUUUUAAUAUCUCACUUGUAUUGAACCCCAACUUUUGAGCUAUAACUAAUCUAAUCAAUGUAAUAACUUAAAUCCUCGAGUUAUGUUAUCGUUAUCUAAAUUUAGUCUGUGAGAGACCCUUAGGCUAUAUUAUUGAUUAACUCCUAAUGAAUUAGAUUCAUUACCUAAUUUAAUUUUUUUUUAAUUUUAAAGAUUUUGUGUCACAUGUUUAUUAGUAUUAAUAUAUAAUUAAAAUUUAAUUAUUGUUUUAAUUUAUUAGCUACUAACUACGCGAGUAAAUUUUAUUCACGAGCAAAUCAGAGGAUAAGAGGAUCCAAAGAAACACUACUUAUAAUUCUUACUCAUCAUUCAAAUUCAAGUCUUGGUUUAAGCCAUUGAGGGGAAGGAAAAAGGAAAAGAAAAGAAAUUAUUGCUUUUGGGAUAUAUACUAGUGGUCGAGGAGUUGUCUAUCUAUUCAUAACAAUCUAUGCAAUUGGCACCGUGUGAAUUACGAUAUGAUUUUGCCAGCCCUCCCGUCACACACUCAGCCUAGCAUGUGCCAUUUAUUGACUUUAUUACUACGAGCACGGCAGAUAAAUCACGGCUUAAUAAAUUAAAGAGAAACGAAUUAUAUAUACAUACGUACGAGUGAAAGUGACAAAACGACGUUGUCUUUGUCCUCGUGGUGUGACUUCACGCCACUGUCACUGUUCAUAAACAAUUAUAUAUAUAUCAUCUAAUUCUUAAUUCUAGUCUGACGUCGCCCGUAAUACCUUAAUACUUUAAUCUUCCUUCUAGAAUUAUGUGUCAUCAAUGAUUGUGAUAACAGCUAAUCAUCUUCCUUUAUUUCUAUUUUUUGGAGCUUUGAUUACGUACGCCUUCAAAAUUUUCAUCCCUCUGCGCCACUUUCAAUAAUUUGCCACUUUCUUUUUAUUGUCGCAUGACCAAAGGGGCUUCACUACCCUUUUCUGUUUUUUUUUUCUUUGUCGUAAGAAUAAUGUGUGGUUCUGUUUAAUUUCUAAACCACAUGUAUUUAUAUGGAGUUCUUGAGCGUCUAUUAUCACUGCCACUUCAGUUUUGUCAAAAGUUCAUGUAACCACAUAAAAAAUAAAAAAAAAGUGCCUUUACACCUACAUAGAAUCAAAAAAUAAAGUAAUAUAUAGACUAAUUUUGACAACCAAUUGUAAAAUAAUAAAAUAAUAUAUAGAUUUGUAAUUCUAAUCAUAGUGGUUCAACUUUUAAGUAUUCUCUACACACUCAAAUUCACAGGAAGUGUCUUCUAACCUAUUUCAUUUUAUAAUUGCCCAGUUGAGGGGAGUUUUGGGUUCUUAGAUUGCGGAGGGUUUGCGAGUCAUAAAUCCACCUAGGAGACCGAUUCAAAUAGUUUCUUACAUGACACUGCCUCUUGGGGUUGCGAAGCUGACUAUAGAUGGUUGAUCUAAGGGCAAUCCUAAGAUGGCUGCUUCGGGUGGUAUUCUCCAUGAUCAUAGAUGUGCAGUUUUGGCUGCUUUUAGGUCCUUUCUUAGCUGCUAGCCGAUCCUUUAUGCUGAGCUUAUGGCAGUUUGUGAAGGGUUGGAGCUGGCUGUCUAGCUUGGUUACCAUGUGCUUGAGGUAGAGUCAAACACAACAAUGGUGGUUUCUUGGAUUCUUUUCCAGGGUCCUGAUCGCUGGGAUUAUGCUUAUUUGUUGCGUUGAGUGUGUGCUUUGAUUUCAUCUUCUUCAAUUUUAGUUAGACAUAUGUUUAGGGAGGCCACUUCUACUACAUAAUUUUUUGCCAAUUGGACCUGUACUCAUCGGGUUAGUCAGCAUUUCUUAUGUUCUCGAGAUCUUCCUGAAGGCUUAUUUGACAUUCUAUAUUAGAAUGUGCAGAUUGUUCCUCAUGUCAGACAUUAGGAUUGAUGGCUUUUUUAUGCUAUUUGAUCAUUUUGUACUUCUCUUUCUAUUCUUAUAUACUUACAAUUGCUUUAGGAGGUUUAGUUUAUGUCCAUCUCCUUGUAUAUUUACUUAUUUAUUGAUUUAUAUUACAGGUAGGGGUCUCACCUAAUCCCCAUGUUCUUGGUGGUUUCUUUCCAAUAAUAAUAAUAAAAAAUUAUUUUAUAUCAUUUUUAGUGAUUGAAAAAUAAGUUUUCAUGGCCGACAUAAAACUUUUAUCCUUGCGAAAUAGAAAUACAACUACUUUUCCCUA
This 2949-nucleotide long non-coding RNA is filed under the name Citrus sinensis (sweet orange). RNAcentral's name for it is "long non-coding RNA (CSIN_LNC003688)". The record is from RNAcentral. Lineage: Eukaryota; Viridiplantae; Streptophyta; Magnoliopsida; Sapindales; Rutaceae.